This is a non-coding RNA of Caenorhabditis elegans, 223 nucleotides long. Lineage: Eukaryota; Metazoa; Nematoda; Chromadorea; Rhabditida; Rhabditidae. The record is from Ensembl.
GAUUCAUUAGAGUACAAAAAUGGCAGAAGAGAUUCGUGGGUGUCACCAAUUCACCAUUACAGUAUCACCUUCUUUUACGACUUGCCAUCUUUAUCUCCCGUCGUGAUGCCGCUCUUUUCCGGAUGAAUGUCGUCGUUUGGAUGUGUGCAUGCAAUAUGCGCAUUUUAUUUCGUUUUACUAACCCAAACGGGAGACGAACCAAUUCUUCUCAUACUUACGAAAG